Transfer RNA from Marchantia polymorpha subsp. polymorpha, 81 nucleotides. It matches the Rfam family "tRNA". From Rfam's summary of the family: Transfer RNA (tRNA) molecules are approximately 80 nucleotides in length. Their secondary structure includes four short double-helical elements and three loops (D, anti-codon, and T loops). Further hydrogen bonds mediate the characteristic L-shaped molecular structure. tRNAs have two regions of fundamental functional importance: the anti-codon, which is responsible for specific mRNA codon recognition, and the 3' end, to which the tRNAs corresponding amino acid is attached (by aminoacyl-tRNA synthetases). tRNAs cope with the degeneracy of the genetic code in two manners: having more than one tRNA (with a specific anti-codon) for a particular amino acid; and 'wobble' base-pairing, i.e. permitting non-standard base-pairing at the 3rd anti-codon position. Lineage: Eukaryota; Viridiplantae; Streptophyta; Marchantiopsida; Marchantiales; Marchantiaceae. The record is from Rfam.
GUCAAUAUGGCCGAGUUGGUCUAAGGCGCCAGUUUCAGGUACUGGUCCGAAAGGGCGUGGGUUCGAAUCCCACUGUUGACA